GCCGACCCUGACGCUUCCUCUUCUCGAAUCCUCGUUCCUCUCCGUUGCGCUCUUGAAAGCUUGAAAUCCGAAUGCUUCAGAGGUUGAAAUAAUCUCUACAAGGCUGAAAGCUCUUCUUGGCAGCGUCGUUGGGUCCUUUGUUAAACUUGGCAAGCAUCUCUCACUAUUUAUCUCUCUAUCUCGAUCGCGUUUGUUGCAUUUUGUAGAUUACAAGAUAAUCUGCUGAAUGUUGGUUGCAUUACUGGUUUUAAUUUUUGUGUAUAUAUAAUUUUUUGUAGUAGUGAUAUUGAUUAUUCAAUAAUCUUAGUGCAGCUUUUUUCUUUCCUUUAGAAUUUACAUCUAUAAUCCAAAAUUCCAGAUACCCUUUUGAUGAGGCUACAUUACUCUUGUAGAAGUUCACUGGAUUUUUCCACAUUUCCAAAUUUCGAAUCUUGGUGCAGUUCAUUGGAUUGUCCAAUCGCUGCUCCAAAGUGAACCAUACUCAAGUCGGUCCUAAAUUUGGUUAUUGUGGGACUUUAAUUUUAGUCCCUUACAAAUGGAAAAAAGUUUGUUAGUUGAAUUCAGCUUGACCAAAAUUCUAGAUAUUAGAGUUUGCAGUGAGCUAAAGCUUGGUUUCACGAUGUCCUACAGUAAUAAAGCAUAUAAGAUUGCAGCUGGCCGAGCUGAUUGGCUAUAGUAUUGCCAGUCAGUAAGUUAAUACAGCUGCAUAAAUUUAUCUGUGGUACAAAACCAGCUCUUGACUGCAGGAGUUUGGGCAGUGCAAGAUAGAUGGUACCACACAUUGCAAAUAUAAGAUUGCCACACUGCUGCCCUCUUUCAGUGUUGAUUUUUCUCUGAAUAUUUUUCCUCUAUUUUCUUUUUAUUUUUUCGGAUUUUAUUGCUUGACAUUAGCAAUAAUGGUACGCAAUAAUCAGUUGUAGAUCAUCAGUGCCUUUGUUUAUUGUUCACUUUUUUUUUUACUUCUUUUUUUUGGUACUUGAUUAUCUAUAUUAGUCAAUGUAUUCUACCUGUAUUUAUAACUUCUAAGUUUGUAACUUCUUUCUUAUUCUUCAUCUUUCUGCGUUGACAAAUUUCAAAGGGAUUUUUAUAGUUUAAUCUAAUGCAGAAUAAUGCUAUCAGUCUAUUACUUCUGGGGAAGAGUAUAAGAGUGAAAAAAUGCCACUGCUUCCGUUAAAAACCUCAUGUAAGAAACGAAACAUUGAUGGAUUCGGAGUGUCAAAACUUGUUUGCGUUAGGAAUGGCGUCCUAAAUCAUUUGAUGCUAUUCAUCUGGGUUAUGCUGUUUAGGAAGCUUGAUGGAAGGCGUUAUCAGAGAAGCUUCUGCAACUUGUACAGAGGAUUUUCAACAUAUUAAAAUGAGAAGAUUCACUGUAUAUGAAUGUUAUAUGCUAUUGUGAAGACUGGGGUGAGAACUGAAAAUAUAUUAUUUCAGCUUGAAAUGCAGAACAACAGAUUGAUUAGGCCGCAAACAUAGAUCAAAUGUCAUUUGAGGUCACAAGAGAUCUUGGUUUGAAACUUUAGAGUCUGUUUGAAGUGGAAAUGCAGGAAGGCAAUGGCAGAGACAGCUGCAAGAGACUAGAUAUUGAGGCUAUAAGGGGAAGAAUCAAAUUUAAAUGCUAACUGGUAGCCAAAUUAACUAACCAGAACGAUGUUCCUUCUCUAUAUUAGGGCACAAAUGUCGGGCCAGCAACAUGCCUCACCUCUACCCCUUGAUUUUAACAAAGUUUUAUACAUGUGGAAUAACUUUUUAUGACCAAGAAACUGCCGGUCAGAUUGGCUGCUGCUUGGGUUUUUUGUUAUAAAUUGUUUUUUUAUGAACAUUAUUGUGUAAUUAACCCAUUUGUUGGAUUUCCCUUUUUCUUUGAAACAUGUUAUUUCAGCCUAGUUAAUGAAAGUGAUUAAUUUCCAAUUGCCA
Manihot esculenta (cassava) is the source of this 1914-nucleotide long non-coding RNA. RefSeq lists it as uncharacterized. The transcript has 3 exons. NCBI's taxonomy places the organism in Eukaryota, Viridiplantae, Streptophyta, Magnoliopsida, Malpighiales, Euphorbiaceae. The record is from RefSeq and is a predicted model, not a curated record.